CCUACGGGAGGCAGCAGUAGGGAAUAUUGGGCAAUGGAGGCAACUCUGACCCAGCCAUACCGCGUGCAGGAUGAAGGCCCUCUGGGUUGUAAACUGCUUUUAUCAGGGAAGAAACGCUAGGAUUUAUCUUAGCCUGACGGUACCUGAGGAAUAAGCACCGGCUAACUCCGUGCCAGCAGCCGCGGUAAUACGGAGGGUGCAAGCGUUAUCCGGAUUUACUGGGUUUAAAGGGUGCGUAGGCGGGUUGUUAAGUCAGUGGUGAAAGAUUCGAGCUUAACUCGGAAACUGCCAUUGAUACUGAUGACCUCGAAUACAGUUGAGGUAGGCGGAAUAUUACAUGUAGCGGUGAAAUGCUUAGAUAUGUAAUAGAACACCGAUUGCGAAGGCAGCUUGCUAAACUGUUAUUGACGCUGAGGCACGAAAGCGUGGGGAUCAAACAGGAUUAGAUACCCUGGUAGUCCACGCCCUAAACGAUGAAUACUCGACAUUUGCGAUAUACUGUAAGUGUCCAAGCGAAAGCGUUAAGUAUUCCACCGUGGGAGUACGACCGCGAAGGUUAGAAACGUUAAAGGUAAGUUAGGACGGACGUGAGACGUGACCGACGGACGACGACGAGGGAGGAGG
This 624-nucleotide ribosomal RNA is filed under the name uncultured bacterium. Its description in RNAcentral is "bacterial SSU rRNA". It matches the Rfam family "Bacterial small subunit ribosomal RNA", at positions 338 to 1414 of the family's 1533-position model. The record is from RNAcentral.